AUACGUAGGGUGCAAGCGUUGUCCGGAAUUAUUGGGCGUAAAGAGCUCGUAGGCGGUUUGUCGCGUCGGCUGUGAAAGCCCGGAGCUCAACUCCGGGUCUGCAGUCGAUACGGGCAGACUUGAGUGUUGCAGGGGAGACUGGAAUUCCUGGUGUAGCGGUGAAAUGCGCAGAUAUCAGGAGGAACACCGGUGGCGAAGGCGGGUCUCUGGGCAACAACUGACGCUGAGGAGCGAAAGCGUGGGGAGCGAACAGGAUUAGAUACCCUGGUAGUCCACGCCGUAAACGUUGGGCGCUAGGUGUGGGGGCCAUUCCACGGUCUCCGUGCCGCAGCUAACGCAUUAAGCGCCCCGCCUGGGGAGUACGGCCGCAAGGCUAAA
Molecule: ribosomal RNA, 378 nt
Filed under: uncultured bacterium
Lineage: Bacteria
Description: bacterial SSU rRNA
Rfam family: Bacterial small subunit ribosomal RNA
Source: RNAcentral